Uloborus diversus is the source of this 74-nucleotide non-coding RNA. The record is from the annotation of a RefSeq genome assembly. NCBI's taxonomy places the organism in Eukaryota, Metazoa, Arthropoda, Arachnida, Araneae, Uloboridae.
GGCGCCGUGGCUUAGUUGGUUAAAGCGCCUGUCUAGUAUACAGGCGAUGGCGAGUACGAAUCUCGCCGGUGCCU